UUCAAGAGUCCAAAAACUAGAAGUGACCAGC
This 31-nucleotide non-coding RNA is filed under the name Callithrix jacchus (white-tufted-ear marmoset). Lineage: Eukaryota; Metazoa; Chordata; Mammalia; Primates; Cebidae. RNAcentral also lists the same sequence under 4 other names. The record is from RNAcentral.